This is a long non-coding RNA of Pungitius pungitius (ninespine stickleback), 656 nucleotides long. RefSeq lists it as uncharacterized. The record is from RefSeq and is a predicted model, not a curated record. The transcript has 3 exons. Lineage: Eukaryota; Metazoa; Chordata; Actinopteri; Perciformes; Gasterosteidae.
AGUCAUUUUGGGGGCUCGUCCGGGAUAGGAGUUUUCCUGCAGGGGGGAAUUCGGUCCAAGAGCUUUCACCUGCUGAACACUGCGUACUCCCAGGCCGGCCUCAAAACAAGGUGUCCAGAGACCACGGAAGGGAGAAGACCGACCAUCCCCACACAGCUAUCCUUCUUGAGAAACUUCCAGACUACCUCUGGUCCGAAGGCCCGACUGACAUUUUGCGGUCCAGGUGCAAGACAGAACCGGAGGGCAGAACACCCCUGAUCCCCACACAACAGCCUGGGUCCUCCUGAGGGUCAUUAAGAGGAAGUGGUCGGAGCCACGGUGGACAGGACCAUACCAGGUGGAGGAGAGAACGUCACACGCUGUGAGGCUGAGAGGGCAAGGGGACACCUGGUACCACUGGAGCCAGUGCGCCCCCGCGGACGAACCGGGUCGCACUCUUCAGGACAUCCUGACGACGCAGCAGAAAGAGACGGAACUGGGCACUGGAUAGUGCCCGGACGUGCUCUCGGCGGGCAGUGACCGACAGACACCCAGUGCAUGGUGUUCUGUGUUGACUGUCUACAACGAAAGAAGAAGACCAGCGACGAAGAAAUGCACAAUGCUAUCCUCUCCUCUCCUCUGUUCUAUCUUUCUCAAUUCUCCGCAGUUUAGUUGAA